GUCACAUCAUGUUGAAACACCUAUUCCCGUAUGAUCACCGAUGUUAAGCAAUAUCGACUAUGGUCUGUAUCUAGAUGGGUGACCGUUUGGGAAUAGCAGGUGCUGUAAG
Molecule: non-coding RNA, 109 nt
Organism: Acanthosepion pharaonis
Lineage: Eukaryota; Metazoa; Mollusca; Cephalopoda; Sepiida; Sepiidae
Source: the annotation of a GenBank genome assembly